Long non-coding RNA from Bos taurus (domestic cattle), 985 nucleotides. The record is from Ensembl. NCBI's taxonomy places the organism in Eukaryota, Metazoa, Chordata, Mammalia, Artiodactyla, Bovidae.
CUGUGACCAGCCCAGGGCUCAGGAAGUGACUCUUGCUUUGGUUCUGCCUGGGGUGCCUGUCACACUUUCCGAUGGUUGAUCAGCUCUGCCGGAAACAUGGAGGGCCUGGCCUUCAAUGGGUCUGGGGGCAGCUCUGCUCCCACCCCAGGGAGGGUCUUUGGGCACUGAGAGAAGAAUCUGAAGAGGCCAGGUGCCGGCAAACAGCUCCGCAAAGAGAUGCUGAAGGUAGAAGGCUGGUGUUUUUUUGGGAGAGGAAGAAUGCUGCAGAGAUGUCAUUUGUACAUUCCAGAAAAAUGUGCUGAAUUAUUAGAGUGUUCCAGGCCCCGUACUAGAUGCUGGGGAAACAGUGGUGAACCAGGUAGGCCCAUCGCCUAUGCCCGGGCUUUCAGUCUAGUGGGGACACAUGGGCACUGAUGAAACAGGGUGAUAUGUGCUGUCAGGGAAGAGAACACGAAGAGAAGGCCACGGGGCCCUGGACCAGGUGCAGUGUCACAUCUAAGCUGAGACUUGAAGAACAUGCAAGACAUUACCAAGUGAAGGAGGAGACAAAGAGCACGGAGAAGAAAGCCAGAAGAGAAUGCCAGGGCCAGAAGUCUGGGAGCACAUGAGUCCCUUCUGCUCAGGCUCUAAAAUAGUUGAAGCAGGGGGAGGAGGGAAGCCCCAGGUCUCCUUCUGAGUUGCCACUUAGAAAGCUGGACCCGGCAGGUCCAAGAUGGACAUGGAACAGAGGAAAUGGGAUCUCACUUGCAUCAGAGGAGACAAAGGAAUCAAGAAGGGUCGCUGCUUGGUUUAGCUUACCCCAUCCUCCCCCUGGAGGCUGUCUGAGUUGUCUCUGGGGAACCCGUCCUCUUCUCACCUAAUGGCAAUGAAUCAUGAUCUGGUGGAGAUGGGGACAGGUCGAAAUCUUGGCAAAGAAAAGAGGAAUAAAGGAGCUCUAUGGGGGCCAUGCAUUUCUCUGUCAACUCUCAAGUUCCCCAAUGACAGG